GAUGAACGCUGGCGGCGUGCCUAAUACAUGCAAGUCGAGCGAACGGACGAGAAGCUUGCUUUUCUGAUGUUAGCGGCGGACGGGUGAGUAACACGUGGAUAACCUACUUAUAAGACUGGGAUAUCUUCGGGACACCGGAUCUAAUACCGGAGAAUAUUUUGAACCGCAUGGUUCAAAAGUGAAAGACGGUCUUGCUGUCACUUAUAGCUGGAUACGAGCUGCAUUAGCUAGUUGGUAAGGUAACGGCUUACCAAGGCAACGAUGCAUAGCCGACCUGAGAGGGUGAUCGGCCACACUGGAACUGAGACACGGUCCAGACUCCUACGGGAGGCAGCAGUAGCGAAUCUUCCGCAAUGGGCGAGAGCCUGACGGAGCAACGCCGCGUGAGUGGUGAAGGUCCUCGGAUCGUAAAACUCUGUUAUUAGGGAAGAACAUAUGUGUAAGUAGCUGUGCACAUCUUGACGGUACCUAAUCAGAAAGCCACGGCUAACUACGUG
Molecule: ribosomal RNA, 497 nt
Filed under: uncultured bacterium
Lineage: Bacteria
Description: partial 16S ribosomal RNA
Rfam family: Bacterial small subunit ribosomal RNA
Source: RNAcentral